CCGUCUGGAGUGGACCAUGACGGUCGGUACAUGGUACAUGCUUGCAUGCUGUGCUGCUGUAUGUCAACAUAAUAUUCAGAUAGAAACUAGACAAAACCUCCACGUAUUUGAGUUAAUUCCUUCUAUUUCUGAAUACAUUAGGCUUCUUGUUUAGACCAGAGUAACAACUUGAGUAAACGUGUGUGAGAUUGGACUGUAGAGGAUCUGUUGGUGCUUCCCACGCAGAGGAGGGUUUUCCGGCUAAAGUUUCCUUUGUGAUUCGGAUGUAACAGCAUGAUAUCUGCAUACGCAAGGCUGGAGAAGGCAACAUGAAUAAACUACUCAGAGUCGUUUUAUGCUGAAAUGGGAAAACGCCCCUCCAGCAAGAUUUAAAAACACAGGUCUGUCUGUCUGUCACCAUGGCAACGGUGGAUCCACAGAAGGGUUCUGUUAGGAUGGAAGUCACCGGGACCCCAGGGUCAGCCCCGAGUCCACAGAGUGAGGCCGUGACCAAUGAGAUGCAGGAGUUAACUCUUCAGCCCGCCCCCAAACUGCCCCCCAUAAAGGAACGCAAAAACGAGCACCGGCAUGUUU
Boleophthalmus pectinirostris (great blue-spotted mudskipper) is the source of this 573-nucleotide long non-coding RNA. RefSeq lists it as uncharacterized. The transcript has 4 exons. Lineage: Eukaryota; Metazoa; Chordata; Actinopteri; Gobiiformes; Gobiidae. The record is from RefSeq and is a predicted model, not a curated record.